This 433-nucleotide ribosomal RNA is filed under the name uncultured bacterium. RNAcentral's name for it is "partial 16S ribosomal RNA". It matches the Rfam family "Bacterial small subunit ribosomal RNA", at positions 29 to 507 of the family's 1533-position model. The record is from RNAcentral.
AGCGAACGCUGGCGGCAGGCUUAACACAUGCAAGUCGAGCGGGCCCUUCGGGGUCAGCGGCAGACGGGUGAGUAACACGUGGGAACGUACCCUUUGGUUCGGAAUAACGCUGGGAAACUAGCGCUAAUACCGGAUACGCCCUUUUGGGGAAAGGCUUGCUGCCGAAGGAUCGGCCCGCGUCUGAUUAGCUAGUUGGUGGGGUAAUGGCCUACCAAGGCGACGAUCAGUAGCUGGUCUGAGAGGAUGAUCAGCCACACUGGGACUGAGACACGGCCCAGACUCCUACGGGAGGCAGCAGUGGGGAAUAUUGGACAAAGGGCGCAAGCCUGAUCCAGCCAUGCCGCGUGAGUGAUGAAGGCCUUAGGGUUGUAAAGCUCUUUUGUCCGGGACGAUAAUGACGGUACCGGAAGAAUAAGCCCCGGCUAACUUCGUG